ACCAGGCAUCCUGGUGGGAUGCAGAAGGAGAGCCGCAGACAGCCACGGCAUGGGGACUGAGCAGGGUCUCACUCAGCUGUGUCUCCGGUGUCCCUGCUGUAGUGGCUUGAAUAGUGACCUCCAAAAGAUACGGCCACCAUGAAGUUAAUAGCCUGCUCCACCAUGUGCCCUCCCACCAUGAUGUGCUGCCUUGCCACAGGCCCAAAAGUAACAAGGCCAACUGACCAUGGACUGAAAGUUCCAAAUUUGUGAGCCAAAUAAGCCUUUCCUCUCUUUAAGUUGAUCGUCUCAGGUAUUUUGUUACAGUUAUCCAGGAACUCUUUGGGUACCACAAACUUCCCUGGGCUUCCCGUUCUUGCAGCAUUUGGAACUGGCCCUUUCAGGAAAUAAACAGAAGAUUGAAAGGUUGGCCAGGUACUGCAAAGGUCAAACAAGACUGAGCAUGUUGUCAGUUACAGCCACAUGGCGUGGUGGAAUAAAUGCUUAUUGGAGGCCCUACCCAAGUCUGGCAACCUGGCAAGGAAUGGAGACUUUAACAUUGCCCUUCCCACUUGCUGUCUGAGGAUGACAGUGAAA
Long non-coding RNA from Heterocephalus glaber (naked mole-rat), 576 nucleotides. The record is from Ensembl. NCBI's taxonomy places the organism in Eukaryota, Metazoa, Chordata, Mammalia, Rodentia, Bathyergidae.